GGGUUGUGAGGUUAAGCGACUAAGCGUACACGGUGGAUGCCCUGGCAGUCAGAGGCGAUGAAGGACGUGCUAAUCUGCGAUAAGCGUCGGUAAGGUGAUAUGAACCGUUAUAACCGGCGAUUUCCGAAUGGGGAAACCCAGUGUGUUUCGACACACUAUCAUUAACUGAAUCCAUAGGUUAAUGAGGCGAACCGGGGGAACUGAAACAUCUAAGUACCCCGAGGAAAAGAAAUCAACCGAGAUUCCCCCAGUAGCGGCGAGCGAACGGGGAGCAGCCCAGAGCCUGAAUCAGUGUGUGUGUUAGUGGAAGCGUCUGGAAAGGCGCGCGAUACAGGGUGACAGCCCCGUACACAAAAAUGCACAUGCUGUGAGCUCGAUGAGUAGGGCGGGACACGUGGUAUCCUGUCUGAAUAUGGGGGGACCAUCCUCCAAGGCUAAAUACUCCUGACUGACCGAUAGUGAACCAGUACCGUGAGGGAAAGGCGAAAAGAACCCCGGCGAGGGGAGUGAAAAAGAACCUGAAACCGUGUACGUACAAGCAGUGGGAGCACGCUUAGGCGUGUGACUGCGUACCUUUUGUAUAAUGGGUCAGCGACUUAUAUUCUGUAGCAAGGUUAACCGAAUAGGGGAGCCGAAGGGAAACCGAGUCUUAACUGGGCGUUAAGUUGCAGGGUAUAGACCCGAAACCCGGUGAUCUAGCCAUGGGCAGGUUGAAGGUUGGGUAACACUAACUGGAGGACCGAACCGACUAAUGUUGAAAAAUUAGCGGAUGACUUGUGGCUGGGGGUGAAAGGCCAAUCAAACCGGGAGAUAGCUGGUUCUCCCCGAAAGCUAUUUAGGUAGCGCCUCGUGAAUUCAUCUCCGGGGGUAGAGCACUGUUUCGGCAAGGGGGUCAUCCCGACUUACCAACCCGAUGCAAACUGCGAAUACCGGAGAAUGUUAUCACGGGAGACACACGGCGGGUGCUAACGUCCGUCGUGAAGAGGGAAACAACCCAGACCGCCAGCUAAGGUCCCAAAGUCAUGGUUAAGUGGGAAACGAUGUGGGAAGGCCCAGACAGCCAGGAUGUUGGCUUAGAAGCAGCCAUCAUUUAAAGAAAGCGUAAUAGCUCACUGGUCGAGUCGGCCUGCGCGGAAGAUGUAACGGGGCUAAACCAUGCACCGAAGCUGCGGCAGCGACACUAUGUGUUGUUGGGUAGGGGAGCGUUCUGUAAGCCUGUGAAGGUGUGCUGUGAGGCAUGCUGGAGGUAUCAGAAGUGCGAAUGCUGACAUAAGUAACGAUAAAGCGGGUGAAAAGCCCGCUCGCCGGAAGACCAAGGGUUCCUGUCCAACGUUAAUCGGGGCAGGGUGAGUCGACCCCUAAGGCGAGGCCGAAAGGCGUAGUCGAUGGGAAACAGGUUAAUAUUCCUGUACUUGGUGUUACUGCGAAGGGGGGACGGAGAAGGCUAUGUUGGCCGGGCGACGGUUGUCCCGGUUUAAGCGUGUAGGCUGGUUUUCCAGGCAAAUCCGGAAAAUCAAGGCUGAGGCGUGAUGACGAGGCACUACGGUGCUGAAGCAACAAAUGCCCUGCUUCCAGGAAAAGCCUCUAAGCAUCAGGUAACAUCAAAUCGUACCCCAAACCGACACAGGUGGUCAGGUAGAGAAUACCAAGGCGCUUGAGAGAACUCGGGUGAAGGAACUAGGCAAAAUGGUGCCGUAACUUCGGGAGAAGGCACGCUGAUAUGUAGGUGAAGCGACUUGCUCGUGGAGCUGAAAUCAGUCGAAGAUACCAGCUGGCUGCAACUGUUUAUUAAAAACACAGCACUGUGCAAACACGAAAGUGGACGUAUACGGUGUGACGCCUGCCCGGUGCCGGAAGGUUAAUUGAUGGGGUCAGCGCAAGCGAAGCUCUUGAUCGAAGCCCCGGUAAACGGCGGCCGUAACUAUAACGGUCCUAAGGUAGCGAAAUUCCUUGUCGGGUAAGUUCCGACCUGCACGAAUGGCGUAAUGAUGGCCAGGCUGUCUCCACCCGAGACUCAGUGAAAUUGAACUCGCUGUGAAGAUGCAGUGUACCCGCGGCAAGACGGAAAGACCCCGUGAACCUUUACUAUAGCUUGACACUGAACAUUGAGCCUUGAUGUGUAGGAUAGGUGGGAGGCUUUGAAGUGUGGACGCCAGUCUGCAUGGAGCCGACCUUGAAAUACCACCCUUUAAUGUUUGAUGUUCUAACGUUGACCCGUAAUCCGGGUUGCGGACAGUGUCUGGUGGGUAGUUUGACUGGGGCGGUCUCCUCCUAAAGAGUAACGGAGGAGCACGAAGGUUGGCUAAUCCUGGUCGGACAUCAGGAGGUUAGUGCAAUGGCAUAAGCCAGCUUGACUGCGAGCGUGACGGCGCGAGCAGGUGCGAAAGCAGGUCAUAGUGAUCCGGUGGUUCUGAAUGGAAGGGCCAUCGCUCAACGGAUAAAAGGUACUCCGGGGAUAACAGGCUGAUACCGCCCAAGAGUUCAUAUCGACGGCGGUGUUUGGCACCUCGAUGUCGGCUCAUCACAUCCUGGGGCUGAAGUAGGUCCCAAGGGUAUGGCUGUUCGCCAUUUAAAGUGGUACGCGAGCUGGGUUUAGAACGUCGUGAGACAGUUCGGUCCCUAUCUGCCGUGGGCGCUGGAGAACUGAGGGGGGCUGCUCCUAGUACGAGAGGACCGGAGUGGACGCAUCACUGGUGUUCGGGUUGUCAUGCCAAUGGCACUGCCCGGUAGCUAAAUGCGGAAGAGAUAAGUGCUGAAAGCAUCUAAGCACGAAACUUGCCCCGAGAUGAGUUCUCCCUGACUCCUUGAGAGUCCUGAAGGAACGUUGAAGACGACGACGUUGAUAGGCCGGGUGUGUAAGCGCAGCGAUGCGUUGAGCUAACCGGUACUAAUGAACCGUGAGGCUUAACCUUACAACGCCGAAGCUGUU
RNAcentral lists this ribosomal RNA (2929 nucleotides) under Escherichia coli. RNAcentral's name for it is "bacterial LSU rRNA". It matches the Rfam family "Bacterial large subunit ribosomal RNA". The record is from RNAcentral. Lineage: Bacteria; Pseudomonadati; Pseudomonadota; Gammaproteobacteria; Enterobacterales; Enterobacteriaceae.